Molecule: long non-coding RNA, 110 nt
Organism: Etheostoma spectabile (orangethroat darter)
Lineage: Eukaryota; Metazoa; Chordata; Actinopteri; Perciformes; Percidae
Exons: 3
Source: RefSeq, a predicted model, not a curated record
AAUCCUACUAACAAGUUGAGCUGCUGCUCUGCCCGGUGCGUUCUAUACAGACGCUAAAGGGUGAUUUUUGCGUCGGUAUCUGCGUCGGUAAAACUGACCAAGCGUCAGCA